RNAcentral lists this ribosomal RNA (270 nucleotides) under uncultured soil bacterium. RNAcentral describes it as "partial 16S ribosomal RNA". It matches the Rfam family "Bacterial small subunit ribosomal RNA", at positions 26 to 302 of the family's 1533-position model. The record is from RNAcentral.
AGAUUGAACGCUGGCGGCAUGCCUUACACAUGCAAGUCGAACGGUAGAGUAGCAAUACUCGAGAGUGGCGAACGGGUGAGUAAUAUAUCGGAACGUGCCCAGUCGUGGGGGAUAACGUAGAGAAAUUUACGCUAAUACCGCAUACGAUCUACGGAUGAAAGCGGGGGAUUCGCAAGAACCUCGCGCGAUUGGAGCGGCUGAUAUCAGAUUAGGUUGUUGGUGAGGUAAAAGCUCACCAAGCCGACGAUCUGUAGCUGGUUUGAGAGAACG